This is an RNA transcript of Nycticebus coucang (slow loris), 1327 nucleotides long. It is a transcript of the gene named eukaryotic translation initiation factor 3 subunit J-like, with no coding region annotated. The transcript has 2 exons. Lineage: Eukaryota; Metazoa; Chordata; Mammalia; Primates; Lorisidae. The record is from RefSeq and is a predicted model, not a curated record.
AUGUAUUGGGCUCCAGAAAAUCCGUAUGCAGAAAAAGAAGUUCGUUUACCAGGCCCCAGCAUCUGGUGUGGCCUGUUAUUCAGGGGGCUGAUUGGACUCUUAUUUUUUGAAGGUCCUAUUAUCGCUCAAGUGUAUCUACACAUGCUACAAACACCAUUUUACCUAAAAGUCGGGGGCGGCGGCACCGCCGGUGGGGACCGCUGGGAAGGCGAAGACCAGGACGAGGAUGUCAAGGAUAACUGGGAUGAUGAUGACGAUGAAAAAAAAGAGGAAGCAGAAGUAAAACCGGAAGUAAAAAUUUCAGAAAAGAAAAAAACAUAGCAGAGAAGAUAAAGGAGAAAGAACGGCAACAGAAGAAAAGGCAAGAAGAAAUUAAAAAGAGGUGAGAAGAACCUGAAGCACCUAAAGUGCUAACACCGGAACAACCAUUAGCAGAUAAACUGCGGUUAAAGAAAUGGCAGCAAGAGUCGGACCUUGCACUAGCAAAGGAAACUUUCCGUGUUAAUGAUACAGUGUUUGGAAUAGAUGCUAUGAACCCAACUUCAAGAGAUGACUUCACAGAAUUUGGAAGGUUACUAAAAGAUAAAAUUACACAAUAUGAAAAGUCACUGUAUUAUGCCAGUUUUUUGGAAGUCUUAGUUCGAGAUGUGUGUAUUUCAUUGGAAAUUGAUGACUUGAAAAAGAUCACCAAUUCAUUGACGGUGCUUUGCAGUGAAAAACAGAAGCAAGAAAAGCAAAACAAAGCCAAAAAGAGGAAGAAAGGUGUGGUUCCUGGAGGGGGUUUAGAGGCCACCAUGAAAGACGAUCUGGCAGAUUAUGGUGGUUAUGAUGGAGGAUAUGUACAAGACUAUGAAGACUUCAUGUGACAUUUUAUCUUCUCCUGGUGUCUUCUUUAUGUUGCCCACAAUCCCUUCAACAUGUAGCACAAUUUCCUUUCCUUUCAGUUCUGCCAAAUGCUACAAUCAGAAGUGCAGUAUCUUUUGUGCUGGUUAUUUAACCCCUUGACACUUAGGUGCUAAUGUGCAAAUGAGGGAACUUGGAUCUUGCUGCCAAGGGGUUAAAACUGGGAACCUCAGUCGCUACUAAAUCAUAGUUCAAAACAAAACGAACCUAAUAAUGUUGUCAUUGUUGCUAUCUGAUUCCAUAGCAGCAGUCACUAAAUUGGAAAGAAAAGUUUGUGACAUGAUAAAAAAUUGUGUAGUAUUUACCAGCACCAUUCAGUAAUACAGCCUUAACCAUACCUCCUUUAACUACCUCAUAACUUGUCAAGAAAAGCAGUUUGCAGCAAGGGCAUGUGGCGUGCACCUAGUAUUAAAAUUGCUUUGUC